GGAAAGCCAGCUGCCAUCAGGUGGGGACACUAGAGCAGCCCCAGGGAGCUCCCAUAUGGCAAGGAACUGAGACCUGCUGCCAACACCCAGGACCAAUUUGCCAUCCAUGAGAGUGGGCCGUCUCGAAAGUGGGAGAAUGUUGUCAGUGUUUCAGCCAGUGCUUGCUGCUGAGGCAGGAGAGAAUAAUUGUGUAAAGAGGGGGCUCCCGCAGUGCAGGACAGGAAGCCACCAUGUGAGCACCACAUCCACGUGCAGGUCGCAGGCUUCAUCAUGUCCUGAAUACCAUGCCUUAGCAUUUUAUGAGAGUGAGCCAGCCUCAUGUUCUAGAAGAACAUCCAGGUUCCAGGC
This 348-nucleotide long non-coding RNA is filed under the name Pan troglodytes (chimpanzee). Its description in RNAcentral is "long non-coding RNA NONPTRT004591". Lineage: Eukaryota; Metazoa; Chordata; Mammalia; Primates; Hominidae. The record is from RNAcentral.